GUGUCUAUGAAAUCUUUUGGAAAUGAUUUCUGUCCGCCACAAUGCUUCGUCUAUCAUAAGUAUGGCGAGUUUGAGUUGGAGGGAGCAUAAAAACUAUGAGGUUCAAAUAUAAAUUGUAGCUCCUGAAGUUUCUUCAAAAUAGCUAGAGUUCAUUAUUAUUCCUUAUAUUAUAAGGUUACAUCCGGCAAAGCGAAUGAUUAGAGGAACUGAGAUCGAAACGAUCUUAACCUAUUCUCAAACGUUCUGUGGGUAUGUCGUCCUAGCUUUUUCACGUUAAUGUUGAAUUGUUAACAUGAAUGUGAUUUCUCAGUGAGCCAUUUUUGCUGAGCAAAAUUGGCGCCGUGAGAUGAACCAAACGCUAGGUUGAGGUGCGUAACUUUUGCUUAUAAGAUCUCAUAUAAGGCUUUGGUUGUUAUAGACAGCAGGACGGUGGCUACAGAAGUCGGUAUGCACUAAAGAGUGCGUAACAACUCAUCCGCCGAAUCAACUAGCCCUGAAAAUGAUAGGUGCUUUAGCAAAAGACUUAUACCUAACCAUUGUUGGCAUGUGACAAGGUGGACAACGUGCGUCUUAUACGCAUGCUAUCAUCAUAGUUCGCCUGACCACAAUGAGUAGGAGUGUCGUAGCGGUUGUGUUGAAGGCGUUUGGUGUAGAUCUAGCUGGAGCUUACGCUAGUUGAUAUUUCGGUUAUAGUAGCAAAUAUUUAAGUUUUAUCUUUGAAGACUGAAGUGGAGAAGGGUGCCACGUGAACAUUAGUUGAAUGUGGGUCAGUCGAUCCUAAAAUACUGACUUGUGCCUUGUAUUAUUAGGGUGCAAAUGUGUUGUAUUUUUUUUAGAAUCUUUUAUCUUUUCUUUCCCUUCUUUAUUCUUCUUGCUUUUUUUCUUUCUCUUUCUUUUUUCUAUGUUUUCUUUUUUUUCUUUUGUCGAAAGGGAGUAGAGUUAAUAUUUCCUAACGUAGACAAAGAGAUUACGAUUCGUAUAAGUCAUUUGCACGGGAACGCUUUUCAAACUUGGUGAGCGUCGCUGAAAAACCAAGCCAGAGUUUCCUUUUCUAGUUAAAGAAACGGACUUCCUGGAAUCGGUUCAGCCGUAUAUAGGGACGUUGAUUCCGUAAUGUAUCGCGGUUUCUGUGAUAUCUCGUGUUUAUUGAAGUGAACAUCCUCUAGUCGAUAGAAUAAUGAAGGUAAAGAAAAUCAGCAAAUUUGAUCCGUAAGUUCAGAAAAAAGAUUGGCUUCAGUGACCGGAUGGAUUGGCCUUUGAACUGGUGCUUGUACGGAUUUGUCCAUGACCGAUGUGAAAACCUUAUGCAUAUAUGUAUAUACGUAAAUGUGAUGAUGUUGAGCUGAUAAGACCGUGUAGCGGACGCUCAUAGAUGUGUGCUUUGUUUUCGAAUUAAGUAUCCUGGUCGACCAUUAUAACGGUAGGAGUUGAGCUGGUACGGACUUGGUGAAUCUGACUGUCUAAUUAAAACAGCUGAGUUUGAGCAGUUGAGCUUAACUCUAGUUCAACAUCGUGAAGAAUCAUAAGAGGUUUAGUAUAUACGGCUGACUGCAAAUGCAAGUUUUCUAGGUAGUGAAAUCUGGAAAGGUGGCGAAAGGCAUGGGCAGU
Dictyocaulus viviparus (bovine lungworm) is the source of this 1608-nucleotide non-coding RNA. NCBI's taxonomy places the organism in Eukaryota, Metazoa, Nematoda, Chromadorea, Rhabditida, Metastrongylidae. The record is from Rfam.